RNAcentral lists this transfer RNA (72 nucleotides) under Candidatus Moraniibacteriota bacterium. Its description in RNAcentral is "tRNA-Gly". It matches the Rfam family "tRNA". From Rfam's summary of the family: Transfer RNA (tRNA) molecules are approximately 80 nucleotides in length. Their secondary structure includes four short double-helical elements and three loops (D, anti-codon, and T loops). The record is from RNAcentral. Lineage: Bacteria; Candidatus Moraniibacteriota.
GCGGGUGUCGUAUAGUGGCUAUUACAUCAGCCUUCCAAGCUGACGAGGGGGGUUCGAUUCCCCCUACCCGCU